This 819-nucleotide ribosomal RNA is filed under the name uncultured Actinomycetes bacterium. Its description in RNAcentral is "bacterial SSU rRNA". It matches the Rfam family "Bacterial small subunit ribosomal RNA", at positions 335 to 1167 of the family's 1533-position model. Lineage: Bacteria; Bacillati; Actinomycetota; Actinomycetes. The record is from RNAcentral.
ACUCCUACGGGAGGCAGCAGUGGGGAAUAUUGCACAAUGGGCGCAAGCCUGAUGCAGCAACGCCGCGUGAGGGACGACGGCCUUCGGGUUGUAAACCUCUUUUAGUAGGGAAGAAGCGAAAGUGACGGUACCUGCAGAAAAAGCACCGGCUAACUACGUGCCAGCAGCCGCGGUAAUACGUAGGGUGCAAGCGUUAUCCGGAAUUAUUGGGCGUAAAGAGCUCGUAGGCGGUUUGUCGCGUCUGCUGUGAAAACUGGAGGCUCAACCUCCAGCCUGCAGUGGGUACGGGCAGACUAGAGUGCGGUAGGGGAGAUUGGAAUUCCUGGUGUAGCGGUGGAAUGCGCAGAUAUCAGGAGGAACACCGAUGGCGAAGGCAGAUCUCUGGGCCGUAACUGACGCUGAGGAGCGAAAGCAUGGGGAGCGAACAGGAUUAGAUACCCUGGUAGUCCAUGCCGUAAACGUUGGGAACUAGAUGUAGGGUCCAUUCCACGGAUUCUGUGUCGCAGCUAACGCAUUAAGUUCCCCGCCUGGGGAGUACGGCCGCAAGGCUAAAACUCAAAGGAAUUGACGGGGGCCCGCACAAGCGGCGGAGCAUGCGGAUUAAUUCGAUGCAACGCGAAGAACCUUACCAAGGCUUGACAUAUACCUGAAAAGGCUGGAAACAGUCUCCCCGCAAGGCAGGUAUACAGGUGGUGCAUGGUUGUCGUCAGCUCGUGUCGUGAGAUGUUGGGUUAAGUCCCGCAACGAGCGCAACCCUCGUUCUAUGUUGCCAGCACGUAAUGGUGGGAACUCAUAGGAGACUGCCGGGGUCAACUCGGA